GGACUACUGGGGUAUCUAAUCCUGUUUGAUCCCCACGCUUUCGCACCUCAGCGUCAGUGUCGAGCCAGGAGGCCGCCUUCGCCACCGGUAUUCCUCCAUAUAUCUACGCAUUUCACCGCUACACAUGGAAUUCUACCUCCCUCUCUCGCACUCCAGUCGGCCAGUAUCAACUGCAGUUCCCAGGUUGAGCCCGGGGCUUUCACAGCUGACUUAACAAACCGCCUACGCGCGCUUUACGCCCAGUAAUUCCGAUUAACGCUCGCACCCUCCGUAUUACCGCGGCUGCUGGCAC
This 292-nucleotide ribosomal RNA is filed under the name uncultured bacterium. RNAcentral's name for it is "partial 16S ribosomal RNA". The record is from RNAcentral.